Molecule: transfer RNA, 74 nt
Filed under: Syntrophomonas wolfei subsp. wolfei str. Goettingen G311
Lineage: Bacteria; Bacillati; Bacillota; Clostridia; Eubacteriales; Syntrophomonadaceae
Description: Syntrophomonas wolfei subsp. wolfei str. Goettingen tRNA
Rfam family: tRNA
About the family: Transfer RNA (tRNA) molecules are approximately 80 nucleotides in length. Their secondary structure includes four short double-helical elements and three loops (D, anti-codon, and T loops). Further hydrogen bonds mediate the characteristic L-shaped molecular structure. tRNAs have two regions of fundamental functional importance: the anti-codon, which is responsible for specific mRNA codon recognition, and the 3' end, to which the tRNAs corresponding amino acid is attached (by aminoacyl-tRNA synthetases). tRNAs cope with the degeneracy of the genetic code in two manners: having more than one tRNA (with a specific anti-codon) for a particular amino acid; and 'wobble' base-pairing, i.e. permitting non-standard base-pairing at the 3rd anti-codon position.
Source: Rfam by way of RNAcentral
GGGCCUAUAGCUCAGUUGGUUAGAGCGCACGCCUGAUAAGCGUGAGGUCGAUGGUUCAAAUCCAUCUAGGCCCA